AGUCCUUGAGAUUGGGAUUUCCUUCAACUCGUGCAACCAUCAGGUUGAGAAACCAUGGCUCUCCGUUCCGUGUAGUUUGCAUCGACUACCCUCGCCCGCAGCUUGAAAACACUGUUAAUUUCCUUGAAGCUGCUUACUUGUCUUCCACCUUUCGUGCUUCUCCGCGUCCAGCAAAACCCUUGAAGGUCGUUAUUGCUGGUGCAGGUAGGUAACAAGAGUUUAAAGCUUACAUGCCCAUUUCAUUUAAUUCAUCACAAUUGUAUCUUUCUUCCAAAGUUUUGCUUUUUCUUGCUUUAGUUCUACUGGGUGUUUUCAGAAUGAUAGCUCAAGUGGUAAGAGUUAGAUAAGGGAGGUCCAGAGAUCCGUUCCUGGAGGGUGCAAUUUAUUUUUUCGAUGUAAAAAAAAAAUAUUAUGACAUGUUACAUUGAUACUGGCUCAUCACUUGUUAGAGUAACUGUCCCCGAAGAUUAGCUUAAGUGGUAAGAGCUAGGGGACAUGAGUAGGAUGAAGGGUGAAGGGUCCAGUGUUCGAAUCCUCAGAAAGCCUAAUUUACUAACAUUACUAACGACUAACAUUUGCCUUAAAAGAAGUCUAAUUGUGACAGUUCAGUGUUAGUAAUGGAAAAAAAAGCUUUGGAAUUUUAGUAUCUUCAAUGGUAAUUAAUAUGUGUGCCCUAUUUGGUUUAAUGUGUAUUUUAAAUCAUCCCAGGAUUGGCUGGUUUAUCAACUGCAAAAUAUUUGGCAGAUGCUGGUCAUAAGCCUAUAUUGCUGGAAGCAAGAGAUGUUCUAGGUGGAAAGGUUUUCCUGCUAAUUUAAUCCCAUUUUCAUUAUGUUGUUGCUUAGUGCUGCUUUUGUUCAACAUUUUAGCUUGUCAUUUAUUAAAUAGGAAGCUUUUAAUUACUUGAAUGCUCAAUCAUAAUCUAAUGGGUGUAUUGGUUUUAUAUGACCAAUAACUCGAGUUCUUGUUUUAUGAAUUGAUUUUCUGAGACAUUGAAGUGGUAAUUUAGAAUAUCAUCUUCAGGGAGGCUCGUUAAAGAUGACCACCAUACACACAACUUAUUUAUUAGUAUAAUUCAAUUUAAUGCAUUGUGUAUUCACACGAUUAUCUCGUUUUCUAAGGUUGCUGCGUGGAAAGAUGAGGAUGGAGAUUGGUACGAGACAGGCCUACACAUAUUCUGUAAGUUCAUUAAAAUCCCUGGCCUAACCUUUUUCUGUAUUAUAUUUGUUAAUUUAAUUGAUUAUAUUUUCUAUAAAAAGAAUUUGCAGAGAUAAAUUCUGAUUGACCUCUAUUUUACGGAGACGAAAAACACAUUUAUGAAUAAAAGAAAUUCUGAAAAUAAAUGAAUAGAUAACAAGCACCGCUAGUAUUGGAAAGUGCAUUAAGUUUAGAGUGACGUAUAUGUCACUUAAAUGCAAUCCCUAUCCUACCCCUCAUAUCCCUCAUGCAUACAAAGUGCAAAACGUAAAUAACAAGAAAGACAAAGGGCAUUGUGACCAAUUUAAACGGAUAGGACGAAAUUUGUCCUCACCUUCUUCACUAUCCAAACAAGAAUAUUCGGAAAACACAAAUAUUAACAUUACAAUUUACAACAACUAAUGAUUUGUUCACACUUCAUUUUCUCUCCCAUCACAUUUUCACACAUUUUUUUUCUUAUUUAUCUCUGCAUUUCUUAUCACAUCACAUACUAUAUUACUCAUUUUUUAUCAUCUCUUCAUAUUUAUCAAAGGUGGAGGUGAAAAAAAAUCGUAAAUAGAAGAUUAUUUAUUCAAUUUACAACCCCCACACCCAAACACCAAAUAGUACAAAAUAUUAGUGGCGUGUUGCUUUCUCCACCAAACAAAUGCUUCCUUCCCACCAUUACCAUUUCCAUUAGCCAACACAACACAACACAACACACUUCCCAAUUAGUAUCCAACCUUUCAUGUUUCCUUUCUCUUCAUCAACUAUUCAAGUUGCUAUAAGCUUUAUUUGAUUCAUCAAAUUGUUUAUUCUUUUGGCUCAAAUGGCUGGUUGUGGAAUUUUAUCUGCAGUGAACUUGAAUUAUCAUGCUGGAGCAAGAAACACAAUCAAAUUGGGUUCUUCUUCUUCUUCUUCUUCUUCUACUGAUAGCUCAAUUUCUCUAUCAUUUGGUGGAAGUGAGUCCUUGAGAUUGGGAUUUCCUUCAACUCGUGCAACCAUCAGGUUGAGAAACCAUGGCUCUCCGUUCCGUGUAGUUUGCAUCGACUACCCUCGCCCGCAGCUUGAAAACACUGUUAAUUUCCUUGAAGCUGCUUACUUGUCUUCCACCUUUCGUGCUUCUCCGCGUCCAGCAAAACCCUUGAAGGUCGUUAUUGCUGGUGCAGGUAGGUAACAAGAGUUUAAAGCUUACAUGCCCAUUUCAUUUAAUUCAUCACAAUUGUAUCUUUCUUCCAAAGUUUUGCUUUUUCUUGCUUUAGUUCUACUGGGUGUUUUCAGAAUGAUAGCUCAAGUGGUAAGAGUUAGAUAAGGGAGGUCCAGAGAUCCGUUCCUGGAGGGUGCAAUUUAUUUUUUCGAUGUAAAAAAAAAAUAUUAUGACAUGUUACAUUGAUACUGGCUCAUCACUUGUUAGAGUAACUGUCCCCGAAGAUUAGCUUAAGUGGUAAGAGCUAG
This 2628-nucleotide long non-coding RNA is filed under the name Lotus japonicus. Its description in RNAcentral is "long non-coding RNA (LJAP_LNC000154)". Lineage: Eukaryota; Viridiplantae; Streptophyta; Magnoliopsida; Fabales; Fabaceae. The record is from RNAcentral.